GAGGAAAGAGAAAGUUCCCCGAGAUGUGGGGCUGGAAGGAGCAGGGGCAGGAGAUGGGAAGGCAGGGGAUCAGAGGCGGGCAACGGGGAGAAAGGAGGAAAAGUUGGGAGGCACGGAAAGGGAAGGAAAAGGCGAGUUGCAGGGAGGAUACUAUCCAGGAAGAAAGCGGAGGGAGGGGCGAGGCGAGACAGACAGCGAUGGAGGGGGAACCAGAGGGGCAUGGGAGAGUUGGCUGCUCCAGGCAGGGCCUACUCCGAGGGCUCAUCCAACAGAAGCUCUGCUAAAAAUGGCUGCUUUGCUUCCACUGCCCCUUCCCCCUCCCCCAGAGCUCGGCUCCCUUCCCUCCGUGUCCCCGGGCGGCUGCGAGCCCGGGGCCGCCACUCACCAGGCAGAAGAGGUUGGAAUGGCAAUCCUCCAGGCUGGCCCCGUUCGGCACGAAGCAGGAACUCAUCCUCACAGCCACAACCCACACGCCAUUAUCCCACAGCCUCCGACAAGAAAGAAAGAGACAGCCAGGGAGAGAGAGAGAGAGAGAGGGAGAGAGAGGGAGAGAGGGAGAGACAGACAGCGAGAGGGAAAGGGGGAGGGGGGCUCCGCACACGCACAAAUAAUAAUACAAUUAAAUAAGGGAUUUACACGCGCGCGCACGCGAAAUAGUGGCAGGGGGAAUAGGACGAGAGAGGGGGGUAAAAAAAAAUAUAUUUAAAAAAAUUAUUAAAAAAAAAAAUAAUUUUUUUUUUUUAAAGGAAGUCAGAACGUUUUCUCGUCUUCUGGAGCUCCACCGGGGGGGUAAAGCCACGGUGGAAGGGGAGAACAGAAAGAGGGAGGUGAUGCCAAGCAAGAGAAGUAGGAAAACAUAAAUAAUCCAGCGGGGGCAAUCAAUCCAGAACCCCCCCUUCUCUUCCUCCUGUUCCUUUAGUCAUCAGAUGAGAAAGGGGCAAAUUGUGGAAUGACUGGGAAGGAUUGGCCGUGGGAGAGAGAAAAAUCCAGGCUCGUCUCUUCGGAGUCCGAGGGCAACAGGGUGUGGGGGGGUCAGAUUCUUCUCCCCUGCUCCAAAAAUAUUCCAAAUAAAUUAAAAUUUGAAAGCAUAAAAACAAACUUCAGGGGCCAGAAGCAAGGCCAGUCUGAAGAAUUCGUAAAGGCAGAGAGAGAAAAAUUUCCUGGGGUGUACCCCAAAAAAACAUCUGCGGGGGCAGGGGAGGGGGGAAGGUAUUCCUUGAGAGAGAAAGGCCGCAAAAGUCUCCUCAGCAGCCCAGCGGGGGAUUAAAUUCCCGUGUGGAAAACACCCCCCUCUCUAAAACGAAAUAGUCUUCGCAGCGAGGGCGAAACCAAAAUACCCUCCGUCGGGU
This is a long non-coding RNA of Chiroxiphia lanceolata (lance-tailed manakin), 1349 nucleotides long. RefSeq lists it as uncharacterized. Lineage: Eukaryota; Metazoa; Chordata; Aves; Passeriformes; Pipridae. The transcript has 2 exons. The record is from RefSeq and is a predicted model, not a curated record.